UACGGAGGGUGCGAGCGUUGUCCGGAAUCAUUGGGCGUAAAGGGCGCGUAGGUGGCGGGACAAGCGUGCGGUGAAAGCUCGGGGCUCAACCCCGAGUCGGCCGUGCGAACUGUCUUGCUUGAGCACUGUAGAGGCAGGCGGAAUUCCGGGUGUAGCGGUGGAAUGCGUAGAGAUCCGGAAGAACACCGGUGGCGAAGGCGGCCUGCUGGGCAGUUGCUGACACUGAGGUGCGAAAGCGUGGGGAGCAAACAGG
Molecule: ribosomal RNA, 253 nt
Filed under: uncultured bacterium
Lineage: Bacteria
Description: partial 16S ribosomal RNA
Rfam family: Bacterial small subunit ribosomal RNA
Source: RNAcentral